This 510-nucleotide ribosomal RNA is filed under the name uncultured bacterium. RNAcentral describes it as "bacterial SSU rRNA". It matches the Rfam family "Bacterial small subunit ribosomal RNA", at positions 8 to 518 of the family's 1533-position model. The record is from RNAcentral.
AGAGUUUGAUCCUGGCUCAGGAUGAACGCUGGCGGCGUGCUUAACACAUGCAAGUCGAGCGAAGCACCUUGACGGAUUUCUUCGGAUUGAAGCCUUGGUGACUGAGCGGCGGACGGGUGAGUAACGCGUGGGUAACCUGCCUCAUACAGGGGGAUAACAGUUGGAAACGGCUGCUAAUACCGCAUAAGCGCACAGUACCGCAUGGUACGGUGUGAAAAACUCCGGUGGUAUGAGAUGGACCCGCGUCUGAUUAGGUAGUUGGUGGGGUAACGGCCUACCAAGCCGACGAUCAGUAGCCGACCUGAGAGGGUGACCGGCCACAUUGGGACUGAGACACGGCCCAAACUCCUACGGGAGGCAGCAGUGGGGAAUAUUGCACAAUGGGGGAAACCCUGAUGCAGCGACGCCGCGUGAGCGAUGAAGUAUUUCGGUAUGUAAAGCUCUAUCAGCAGGGAAGAAAAUGACGGUACCUGACUAAGAAGCCCCGGCUAACUACGUGCCAGCAGCCGC